This is a non-coding RNA of Microcebus murinus (gray mouse lemur), 438 nucleotides long. Lineage: Eukaryota; Metazoa; Chordata; Mammalia; Primates; Cheirogaleidae. The record is from RefSeq and is a predicted model, not a curated record.
CAGCUCUGCACACUCAGGGAGGAUUCAACGAGGUCCCCUGGGGAGACAGAUGGUCCCGAUUAACCGAGGAUCCAGGUGUGGAGGGCAAGGGGAGAUGGUGCAAAGCUCACCUCCUUCUCAGCCUCCGCUGGCCUCAGGUUUCCGACGUGCUGUUCCUGCUGAGGGCCUGACGGUUUGCAGCAACCCUGCCCUAGAACAAGGUCAAGCUCAAGCCAGGAGAGGGGCUGGCACUUCCAAGUUCAAGGGCUGUGCUUGAGGGAUGGUGACAAGCUACACAGACCUUCAGGGCAUUAUCAGCAUGCAAAUGAGAUGACCCCUGGGGCCACCUUGAAUGAGGACAGAGAUUUGUUUGCACAUCCUGUCCUGGGAAGCCCUGUGGUUGUCAAGUGAUUUACCGAAUCUAAAUGUGCAGAGGAGAGAACUUCUGGCUGCCUUUGU